Molecule: ribosomal RNA, 630 nt
Filed under: uncultured bacterium
Lineage: Bacteria
Description: bacterial SSU rRNA
Rfam family: Bacterial small subunit ribosomal RNA
Source: RNAcentral
ACGGGUGAGUAGCGCGUAAAGAACUUGCCCUGCAGACAGGGAUAACAGACGGAAACGACUGACAACACCUGAUACGGUUGCCGGCACGCAUGUGCCAGGCAAUGAAAAGCGAUGCUGCAGGAGAGCUUUGCGUCCUAUUAGCUUGUUGGUGAGGUAACGGCUCACCAAGGCGACGAUAGGUAGCCGGCCUGAGAGGGUGAACGGCCACAAGGGGACUGAGAUACGGCCCCUACUCCUACGGGAGGCAGCAGUGGGGAAUAUUGGACAAUGGGGGCAACCCUGAUCCAGCAAUUCUGUGUGCACGAAGAAGGCUUUCGGGCUGUAAAGUGCUUUCAGCAGGGAAGAAGCAAGUGACGGUACCUGCAGAAGAAGCGACGGCUAAAUACGUGCCAGCAGCCGCGGUAAUACGUAUGUCGCAAGCGUUAUCCGGAAUUAUUGGGCAUAAAGGGCAUCUAGGCGGUUUUUCAAGUCAGGGGUGAAAACUUAUGGCUCAACUAUAAGCUUGCCUUUGAAACUGAAAGACUAGAGUACUGGAAAGGUGGGUGGAACUACACGAGUAGAGGUGAAAUUCGUAGAUAUGUGUAGGAAUGCCGAUGAUGAAGAUAACUCACUGGACAGAAACUGACGCUG